CGCCCGCCGGGCUCCGGGCUGCCGGUGCGCUGUUCCCAGGCCCCGCGGCGCGCGGGAGCGGCGCGUCCGGGAGGGGCCCCAACGCCCUUCUUGGGGAGGGGGCUGCGAAGCGCAGCGUGAGCGGCGCUGGGCGAGCUCCAGGGCCGGGCAGCCUACCUGGACCCAGGCUUCUAGAAAGCCGUCGCCGUCCUCGCCGGUACUCGCUGUCGUCCCUCUGAGGAAUAAGUUAAAAACCCCGAGUCUGGUUCUGAGCCUUCCCCUGGCGCAGGCACGACCCCACCCGGCCCUCCUGUCGCCCAACUUCGGACAGACGCGGCGGCCGGGCGUUCGGAUCCGUGAGCCUCGGCCGCUGGGGGUACAUACACAGCCCAGGACGCCACAGAAUCGCCGAAGCCCCGCGAACGCCCAAACGGCCGCAUCUCGAAGUGAUCCCAUCUGAAGAAGAUAGCGCGAGGAAGCGAGACCCUGCUGUGUGCCGGCCCCCGGAGGGCGCCCCGGGCCCGAUACUCUACAAGAGAUAUCAGCAUUAUCUCCUGUGUACUCAACAAAACCCUACAGGAGCAGCACCCGUGAAGGAACUUUUCCUGGGAGUGCCUAGGGAGGAAAUACUCGCAUUUCACCUUAUUGCAUGUUUCAUUGUCUGUAAGGGCCUUGAGGAGAAGAACCACAUCUCCUCCAGCAUUUUGAUCCCAAAAACACAAAUCGACUGCAGCCCAGAGCAGAUCCUGGAUCAGUGAGUGGUCAUUGAGGCAAACAGCCUGAACCUUGGUGCAGAGACGGUGGAAUUGCAGCACGUGUGAAGAUAUCAGUGCAUCAUUUUGGCCUCAGGACAUCUUACUGAAAAUAAUUCUAUAUUAAAGCUGUACAUUUUGCUGAAAUUUAAAAAAAAAAUCAAUGGUGAAUUACAAAAUUGUAUUUGCCUAAAGGCUAGUGUGAACUUAUCACUUUUGCCUUCUCGCAGGCCAAGAUUUUCCCUCCCCUUGUUGCCCAAGCCUCACUUUCUAUCCCUCAAAACUCUUCUUUCUUCUGUGAAUUGCAUCGUGUUCUAGG
RNAcentral lists this long non-coding RNA (1050 nucleotides) under Rhinopithecus bieti (black snub-nosed monkey). RNAcentral describes it as "lncRNA (ENSRBIG00000045572.1)". The record is from RNAcentral. Lineage: Eukaryota; Metazoa; Chordata; Mammalia; Primates; Cercopithecidae.